CGCGGGAUUAGAGUUUGAUCCUGGCUCAGGAUAAACGCUGGCGGCGUGCCUAACACAUGCAAGUCGAACGCCCUUUUUCCUCGCAAGAGGGGGGAGGGAGUGGCGGACGGGUGAGGAACACAUGGGUGACCUACCUUUCAGUGAGGAAUACCGGCGAGAAAUCGCCGACAAGACCGCAUGAGCUUCCCUCGGUGAGCGAGGGAAGGAAAGCUCUUUUUCGUGCGAACGGAGGGGGGCGCUGGAAGAUGGGCCUGUGGCCGAUUAGCUAGUUGGUGAGGUAACGGCUCACCAAGGCGACGAUCGGUAGCUGGUCUGAGAGGACGAUCAGCCACACUGGGAUUGAGAACGGCCCAGACUCCCACGGGGGGCAGCAGUGAGGAAUUUUCCGCAAUGGGCGCAAGCCUGACGGAGCAACGCCGCGUGCAGGAAGACGGUUUUCGGAUCGUAAACUGCUUUUCUCGGGGACGAGAACGGACGGUACCCGAGGAAUCAGCCCCGGCUAACUACGUGCCAGCAGCCGCGGUAAUACGUAGGGGGCGAGCGUUGUCCGGAGUUACUGGGCGUAAAGGGCACGCAGGCGGUCGGAUAAGUUUGAGGUAACAGCUCCUGGCUUAACUGGGAGAGCGCCUUGAAAACUGUUGGACUUGAGGGCCAGAGAGGGACACAGAAUUCCGGGUGUAGUGGUGAAAUGCGUAAAUAUC
Molecule: ribosomal RNA, 701 nt
Filed under: uncultured bacterium
Lineage: Bacteria
Description: bacterial SSU rRNA
Rfam family: Bacterial small subunit ribosomal RNA
Source: RNAcentral